Molecule: ribosomal RNA, 578 nt
Filed under: Xylariaceae sp. 8Cb3_1
Lineage: Eukaryota; Fungi; Ascomycota; Sordariomycetes; Xylariales; Xylariaceae
Description: eukaryotic LSU rRNA
Rfam family: Eukaryotic large subunit ribosomal RNA
Source: RNAcentral
GCGGAGGAAAAGAAACCAACAGGGAUUGCCCUAGUAACGGCGAGUGAAGCGGCAACAGCUCAAAUUUGAAAUCUGGCUCUAGGGUCCGAAUUGUAAUUUGCAGAGGAUGCUUUUGGCGAGGUGCCUUCCGAGUUCCCUGGAACGGGACGCCUUAGAGGGUGAGAGCCCCGUACGGUUGGACACUAAGCCUCUGUAAAGCUCCUUCGACGAGUCGAGUAGUUUGGGAAUGCUGCUCUAAAUGGGAGGUAAAUUUCUUCUAAAGCUAAAUACCGGCCAGAGACCGAUAGCGCACAAGUAGAGUGAUCGAAAGAUGAAAAGCACUUUGAAAAGAGGGUUAAACAGCACGUGAAAUUGUUGAAAGGGAAGCGUUUACGGCCAGACCUUUUCCUGGCGGAUCAUCUGGUGUUCUCACCGGUGCACUUCGCUAGGUUUAGGCCAGCAUCGGCUUCUGUAGAGGGAUAAAAGCAGUGGGAAAGUAGCUCUCUCGGGAGUGUUAUAGCCCUAAGCAUAAUACCUUUACGGGGGCCGAGGACCGCGCUUUUGCAAGGAUGCUGGCGUAAUGGUCGUCAACGACCCGU